GACGAACGCUGGCGGCGUGCUUAACACAUGCAAGUCGAACGGAAAGGCACAGCUUUUGUGGGGUGCCAGAGUGGCAAACGGGUGAGAAACACGAGAGUAACGUGCCCUUGACUUGGGGAUAACUUCAGGAAACCGGGGAUAAUACCGGAUAGGAGCCGCUGCUGCAGGGAGGGGGUUGGAAAGUUUCGGCGGUUGGGGAUGGACUCGCGGCUUAUCAGCUUGUUGGUGGGGUAGUGGCUUACCAAGGCUUUGACGGGUAGCCGGCCUGAGAGGGUGACCGGCCACAUUGGGACUGAGAUACGGCCCAGACUCCUACGGGAGGCAGCAGUGGGGAAUAUUGCACAAUGGGCGGAAGCCUGAUGCAGCAACGCCGCGUGCGGGAUGACGGCCUUCGGGUUGUAAACCGCUUUCGCCUGUGACGAAGCGUGAGUGACGGUAAUGGGUAAAGAAGCACCGGCUAACUACGUG
Molecule: ribosomal RNA, 468 nt
Filed under: uncultured bacterium
Lineage: Bacteria
Description: partial 16S ribosomal RNA
Rfam family: Bacterial small subunit ribosomal RNA
Source: RNAcentral